CAGUCGCCACGGUAAUACGAAGGGUGCAAGCGUUACUCGGAAUUACUGGGCGUAAAGCGUGCGUAGGUGGUGGUUUAAGUCCGUUGUGUAAGCCCUGGGCUCAACCUGGGAAUUGCAGUGGAUACUGGGUCACUAGAGUGUGGCAGAGGAUAGUGGAAUUUCCGGUGUAGCAGUGAAAUGCGUAGAGAUCGGAAGGAACAUCUGUGGCGAGGGCGACUAUCUGGGCCAACACUGACACUGAGGCACGAAAGCGUGGGGAGCAAACAGGAUUAGAUACCCCCGUAGUCCCUGUCUCUUAUAC
RNAcentral lists this ribosomal RNA (301 nucleotides) under uncultured bacterium. RNAcentral describes it as "partial 16S ribosomal RNA". It matches the Rfam family "Bacterial small subunit ribosomal RNA", at positions 509 to 807 of the family's 1533-position model. The record is from RNAcentral.